This 94-nucleotide transfer RNA is filed under the name Yersinia pestis subsp. microtus bv. Ulegeica. Its description in RNAcentral is "tRNA-Sec". It matches the Rfam family "Selenocysteine transfer RNA". Lineage: Bacteria; Pseudomonadati; Pseudomonadota; Gammaproteobacteria; Enterobacterales; Yersiniaceae. The record is from RNAcentral.
GGAAGAUCAUCGUCCCCGGUGGGGCGGCUGGACUUCAAAUCCAGAUGGGCCGCCAGCGGUCCCUGGCAGGUUCGACUCCUGUGAUCUUCCGCCA